UUGCACGCUGGCGGCAGGCCUCACCCAUGCAAGUCGAGCGGAUGAAGGGAGCUUGCUCCUGGAUUCAGCGGCGGACGGGUGAGUAAUGCCUAGGAAUCUGCCUGGUAGUGGGGGAUAACGUCCGGAAACGGGCGCUAAUACCGCAUACGUCCUGAGGGAGAAAGUGGGGGAUCUUCGGACCUCACGCUAUCAGAUGAGCCUAGGUCGGAUUAGCUAGUUGGUGGGGUAAAGGCCUACCAAGGCGACGAUCCGUAACUGGUCUGAGAGGAUGAUCAGUCACACUGGAACUGAGACACGGUCCAGACUCCUACGGGAGGCAGCAGUGGGGAAUAUUGGACAAUGGGCGAAAGCCUGAUCCAGCCAUGCCGCGUGUGUGAAGAAGGUCUUCGGAUUGUAAAGCACUUUAAGUUGGGAGGAAGGGCAGUAAGUUAAUACCUUGCUGUUUUGACGUUACCAACAGAAUAAGCGCCGGCUAACUUCGUG
RNAcentral lists this ribosomal RNA (483 nucleotides) under uncultured bacterium. RNAcentral's name for it is "partial 16S ribosomal RNA". It matches the Rfam family "Bacterial small subunit ribosomal RNA", at positions 30 to 507 of the family's 1533-position model. The record is from RNAcentral.